CAGCUGCUUGAAGAAUACAAGAUUCCAUUUCCUGAAAUACACACACACAUACAUACAAACCCACAACAACACAGAAACUGGGGAACGUAACAUAGUCUUCUUAUGUCUUACCAGUCACCAUGAGCUUGCAUGUUCCUUAAAAAACAAUAGGCUUUGUUGUAAAGGGUGUGGAUGUUUUUCUUUUGUAAAUUACUGAUGACUCAUUUUAACCACACUUAAUUCUCUAAUCUCUUUCUCCUUUAAUAUACCAGAGAGCUGAGUUGCUAUGGGAACAGGAACUGUAUGUUCCAUUUUGUUACUCUGCAUCUGCCCCUACUGCCACACCUUCCCUGCAAAUAGCUAGUGGGCAGACUCAGCUGAACCGUACUGACAGUGUGGACUGUUUGUGUGAACAGGAACAGAGCAGAUCUGGGAUCAGCACUCCAUCUCCAGAUGUGUCAGAACGAGAAAUAUAUAGGCCAACAUCAGCACACUGGAGCUCAGACAGACCCAGAUAAUUCAUUAUUAGAUACAUUUUAUGAUGCUGCAUUAGAAUGGAAGAAAAUAUAAAUGGCUGUCUGACUGAUUUAAUCUUGUCUCUUAUCCAGACGGUAGUCCCAGGUGGGAGUGGGCCCAGAGCAAGGCCUCAGUUCUAGUGAGCUGGACCCUGCUCUGAGGAAGCUGCUCAGGAAGGCGGGGCUAAACGAGGAGGAUAUGAAGGACAGACACACCCUCCUCCUAGAGGGGCACUGAGAUGAUCAGAAAGAGCUUUCGAUCAGUGAGAGAAUAUGACUGUGGCAUGUCAAUGACAGUUGUAGACAAUUUCCAAUACAUGGUGAAUUUGAUGUGUGGUUAGUACAAUGGUGUCUGUGUGCACGUAUGAUAGGUGGGCUCACCUUCUGCUGUAGUCUGAACUGAUCUGUAUCUCUCUCUAUCUCAUCUCAUCCACAGUCUGUGACGCAGUGGUGACCUGUCAUUCAGGGCAGAGCCCCACCUGUUAAGCUUUUUGUUGCCUGUUUUUCAUGUUAUUUUGGCAUUAAUACAUGUCACACAUGUUUGCAAACAAUGUAAAAUAAUAAUUGAGUUA
This is a long non-coding RNA of Oncorhynchus kisutch (coho salmon), 1066 nucleotides long. RefSeq lists it as uncharacterized. Lineage: Eukaryota; Metazoa; Chordata; Actinopteri; Salmoniformes; Salmonidae. The record is from RefSeq and is a predicted model, not a curated record. The transcript has 3 exons.